This 2210-nucleotide ribosomal RNA is filed under the name Salmonella enterica subsp. enterica serovar Typhimurium. Its description in RNAcentral is "partial 23S ribosomal RNA". It matches the Rfam family "Bacterial large subunit ribosomal RNA", at positions 827 to 2925 of the family's 2925-position model. The record is from RNAcentral. Lineage: Bacteria; Pseudomonadati; Pseudomonadota; Gammaproteobacteria; Enterobacterales; Enterobacteriaceae.
GGCCAAUCAAACCGGGAGAUAGCUGGUUCUCCCCGAAAGCUAUUUAGGUAGCGCCUCGUGAAUUCAUCUCCGGGGGUAGAGCACUGUUUCGGCUAGGGGGCCAUCCCGGCUUACCAACCCGAUGCAAACUGCGAAUACCGGAGAAUGUUAUCACGGGAGACACACGGCGGGUGCUAACGUCCGUCGUGAAGAGGGAAACAACCCAGACCGCCAGCUAAGGUCCCAAAGUCAUGGUUAAGUGGGAAACGAUGUGGGAAGGCCCAGACAGCCAGGAUGUUGGCUUAGAAGCAGCCAUCAUUUAAAGAAAGCGUAAUAGCUCACUGGUCGAGUCGGCCUGCGCGGAAGAUGUAACGGGGCUAAACCAUGCACCGAAGCUGCGGCAGCGAACGUAUCACCCAAGACAACUUUACGGAGUUGACGAUUGACGGAGCGAAGCGACGUCAAAGCGUUCAUUAAAGUCGAGUUGGCUUAGGGAUACGUUCGUUGGGUAGGGGAGCGUUCUGUAAGCCUGUGAAGGUGUGUCGUGAGGCAUGCUGGAGGUAUCAGAAGUGCGAAUGCUGACAUAAGUAACGAUAAAGCGGGUGAAAAGCCCGCUCGCCGGAAGACCAAGGGUUCCUGUCCAACGUUAAUCGGGGCAGGGUGAGUCGACCCCUAAGGCGAGGCCGAAAGGCGUAGUCGAUGGGAAACGGGUUAAUAUUCCCGUACUUGGUGUUACUGCGAAGGGGGGACGGAGAAGGCUAUGUUGGCCGGGCGACGGUUGUCCCGGUUUAAGCGUGUAGGUGUGUGUUCCAGGUAAAUCCGGUUCACUUUAACACUGAGGCGUGACGACGAGGCACUACGGUGCUGAAGCAACAAAUGCCCUGCUUCCAGGAAAAGCCUCUAAGCAUCAGGUAACAUCAAAUCGUACCCCAAACCGACACAGGUGGUCAGGUAGAGAAUACCAAGGCGCUUGAGAGAACUCGGGUGAAGGAACUAGGCAAAAUGGUGCCGUAACUUCGGGAGAAGGCACGCUGACACGUAGGUGAAGUGAUUUACUCAUGGAGCUGAAGUCAGUCGAAGAUACCAGCUGGCUGCAACUGUUUAUUAAAAACACAGCACUGUGCAAACACGAAAGUGGACGUAUACGGUGUGACGCCUGCCCGGUGCCGGAAGGUUAAUUGAUGGGGUCAGCGCAAGCGAAGCUCCUGAUCGAAGCCCCGGUAAACGGCGGCCGUAACUAUAACGGUCCUAAGGUAGCGAAAUUCCUUGUCGGGUAAGUUCCGACCUGCACGAAUGGCGUAAUGAUGGCCAGGCUGUCUCCACCCGAGACUCAGUGAAAUUGAACUCGCUGUGAAGAUGCAGUGUACCCGCGGCAAGACGGAAAGACCCCGUGAACCUUUACUAUAGCUUGACACUGAACAUUGAGCCUUGAUGUGUAGGAUAGGUGGGAGGCUUUGAAGUGUGGACGCCAGUCUGCAUGGAGCCGACCUUGAAAUACCACCCUUUAAUGUUUGAUGUUCUAACGUGGACCCGUAAUCCGGGUUGCGGACAGUGUCUGGUGGGUAGUUUGACUGGGGCGGUCUCCUCCUAAAGAGUAACGGAGGAGCACGAAGGUUGGCUAAUCCUGGUCGGACAUCAGGAGGUUAGUGCAAUGGCAUAAGCCAGCUUGACUGCGAGCGUGACGGCGCGAGCAGGUGCGAAAGCAGGUCAUAGUGAUCCGGUGGUUCUGAAUGGAAGGGCCAUCGCUCAACGGAUAAAAGGUACUCCGGGGAUAACAGGCUGAUACCGCCCAAGAGUUCAUAUCGACGGCGGUGUUUGGCACCUCGAUGUCGGCUCAUCACAUCCUGGGGCUGAAGUAGGUCCCAAGGGUAUGGCUGUUCGCCAUUUAAAGUGGUACGCGAGCUGGGUUUAGAACGUCGUGAGACAGUUCGGUCCCUAUCUGCCGUGGGCGCUGGAGAACUGAGGGGGGCUGCUCCUAGUACGAGAGGACCGGAGUGGACGCAUCACUGGUGUUCGGGUUGUCAUGCCAAUGGCACUGCCCGGUAGCUAAAUGCGGAAGAGAUAAGUGCUGAAAGCAUCUAAGCACGAAACUUGCCCCGAGAUGAGUUCUCCCUGAGACUUAGAGUCUCCUGAAGGAACGUUGAAGACGACGACGUUGAUAGGCCGGGUGUGUAAGCGCAGCGAUGCGUUGAGCUAACCGGUACUAAUGAACCGUGAGGCUUAACCUUACA